RNAcentral lists this ribosomal RNA (439 nucleotides) under uncultured bacterium. Its description in RNAcentral is "partial 16S ribosomal RNA". It matches the Rfam family "Bacterial small subunit ribosomal RNA", at positions 339 to 795 of the family's 1533-position model. The record is from RNAcentral.
CUACGGGGUGCACCAGUGAGGAAUAUUGCACAAUGGGGGGAACCCUGAUGCAGCAACGCCGCGUGGAGGAUGACGCAUUUCGGUGUGUAAACUCCUUUUAUAUGUCAAGAAAAUGACGGUAGCAUAUGAAUAAGCACCGGCUAACUCCGUGCCAGCAGCCGCGGUAAUACGGAGGGUGCAAGCGUUACUCGGAAUCACUUGGCGUAAAGGACGCGUAGGCGGGUUGGAAAGUCAGGUGUGAAAUCCUACAGCUUAACUAUAGAACUGCACUUGAAACUUCUAAUCUAGAGUAUGGGAGGGGGAGAUGGAAUUAGUGGUGUAGGGGUAAAAUCCGUAGAUAUCACUAGGAAUACCUAAAGCGAAGGCGAUCUCCUGGAACAUUACUGACGCUAAGGCGUAAAAGCGUGGGGAGCAAACAGGAUUAGAUACCCUAGUAGUC